This is a long non-coding RNA of Sander lucioperca (pikeperch), 152 nucleotides long. RefSeq lists it as uncharacterized. The transcript is spliced from 3 exons. The record is from RefSeq and is a predicted model, not a curated record. Lineage: Eukaryota; Metazoa; Chordata; Actinopteri; Perciformes; Percidae.
UUGCAAUGUAAGUCAAUGGAGGCCAAACGGCGUUGAUAAACACGCUAAAAAGCGAGUAUGCGUCUUGAUAACAUGCCAAUAAUGGCACAAUAAUUGGCGUGUCGUACAUACACCACUUAAUGAGAUCAGUCUGCAAGUGUUAAUAGGUUUAU